Molecule: ribosomal RNA, 454 nt
Filed under: uncultured organism
Description: partial 16S ribosomal RNA
Rfam family: Bacterial small subunit ribosomal RNA
Source: RNAcentral
UACACUCCUGCGGGAGGCAGCAGUGGGGAAUAUUGCACAAUGGGCGGAAGCCUGAUGCAGCAACGCCGCGUGCGGGAUGACGGCCUUCGGGUUGUAAACCGCUUUCGCCUGUGACGAAGCGUGAGUGACGGUAAUGGGUAAAGAAGCACCGGCUAACUACGUGCCAGCAGCCGCGGUGAUACGUAGGGUGCGAGCGUUGUCCGGAUUUAUUGGGCGUAAAGGGCUCGUAGGUGGUUGAUCGCGUCGGAAGUGUAAUCUUGGGGCUUAACCCUGAGCGUGCUUUCGAUACGGGUUGACUUGAGGAAGGUAGGGGAGAAUGGAAUUCCUGGUGGAGCGGUGGAAUGCGCAGAUAUCAGGAGGAACACCAGUGGCGAAGGCGGUUCUCUGGGCCUUUCCUGACGCUGAGGAGCGAAAGCGUGGGGAGCGAACAGGCUUAGAUACCCUAGUAGUCCCA